RNAcentral lists this ribosomal RNA (482 nucleotides) under uncultured bacterium. RNAcentral's name for it is "partial 16S ribosomal RNA". It matches the Rfam family "Bacterial small subunit ribosomal RNA", at positions 30 to 507 of the family's 1533-position model. The record is from RNAcentral.
AUUGAACGCUGGCGGCAUGCUUUACGCAUGCAAGUCGAACGGUAACAGCACUUCGGUGGCUGACGAGUGGCGAACGGGUGGGUAAUACAUCGGAACGUGCCUAGUAGUGGGGGAUAACUACUCGAAAGAGUAGCUAAUACCGCAUGAGAUCUAAGGAUGAAAGCAGGGGACCUUCGGGCCUUGCGCUACUAGAGCGGCUGAUGGCAGAUUAGGUAGUUGGUGGGAUAAAAGCUUACCAAGCCGACGAUCUGUAGCUGGUCUGAGAGGACGACCAGCCACACUGGGACUGAGACACGGCCCAGACUCCUACGGGAGGCAGCAGUGGGGAAUUUUGGACAAUGGGCGCAAGCCUGAUCCAGCAAUGCCGCGUGCAGGAUGAAGGCCUUCGGGUUGUAAACUGCUUUUGUACGGAACGAAAAGCCCUCUUCGAAUACAGGAGGGUCAUGACGGUACCGUAAGAAUAAGCACCGGCUAACUACGUG